AGCGAGCGGGAAGAGCUCAAAUUUAUAAUCUGGCACCUUCGGUGUCCGAGUUGUAAUCUCUAGAAAUGUUUUCCGCGCUGGACCGCACACAAGUCUGUUGGAAUACAGCGGCAUAGUGGUGAGACCCCCGUAUAUGGUGCGGAUGCCCAGCGCUUUGUGAUACAUUUUCGAAGAGUCGAGUUGUUUGGGAAUGCAGCUCAAAUUGGGUGGUAAAUUCCAUCUAAAGCUAAAUAUUGGCGAGAGACCGAUAGCGAACAAGUACCGUGAGGGAAAGAUGAAAAGCACUUUGGAAAGAGAGUUAACAGUACGUGAAAUUGUUGGAAGGGAAACGCUUGAAGUCAGACUUGCUUGCCGAGCAAUCGGUUUGCAGGCCAGCAUCAGUUUUCCGGGAUGGAUAAUGGUAGAGAGAAGGUAGCAGUUUCGGCUGUGUUAUAGCUCUCUACUGGAUACAUCUUGGGGGACUGAGGAACGCAGUGUGCCUUACGGCGGGGGUUUCGACCUCUUCACACUUAGGAUGCUGGUGGAAUGGCUUUAAACGACCCGUCUUG
This 548-nucleotide ribosomal RNA is filed under the name Rhodotorula dairenensis. Its description in RNAcentral is "eukaryotic LSU rRNA". It matches the Rfam family "Eukaryotic large subunit ribosomal RNA", at positions 92 to 656 of the family's 3401-position model. The record is from RNAcentral. Lineage: Eukaryota; Fungi; Basidiomycota; Microbotryomycetes; Sporidiobolales; Sporidiobolaceae.